GUUAAGCGACUAAGCGUACACGGUGGAUGCCCUGGCAGUCAGAGGCGAUGAAGGACGUGCUAAUCUGCGAUAAGCGUCGGUAAGGUGAUAUGAACCGUUAUAACCGGCGAUUUCCGAAUGGGGAAACCCAGUGUGUUUCGACACACUAUCAUUAACUGAAUCCAUAGGUUAAUGAGGCGAACCGGGGGAACUGAAACAUCUAAGUACCCCGAGGAAAAGAAAUCAACCGAGAUUCCCCCAGUAGCGGCGAGCGAACGGGGAGCAGCCCAGAGCCUGAAUCAGUAUGUGUGUUAGUGGAAGCGUCUGGAAAGGCGCGCGAUACAGGGUGACAGCCCCGUACACAAAAAUGCACAUGCUGUGAGCUCGAUGAGUAGGGCGGGACACGUGGUAUCCUGUCUGAAUAUGGGGGGACCAUCCUCCAAGGCUAAAUACUCCUGACUGACCGAUAGUGAACCAGUACCGUGAGGGAAAGGCGAAAAGAACCCCGGCGAGGGGAGUGAAAAAGAACCUGAAACCGUGUACGUACAAGCAGUGGGAGCACGCUUAGGCGUGUGACUGCGUACCUUUUGUAUAAUGGGUCAGCGACUUAUAUUCUGUAGCAAGGUUAACCGAAUAGGGGAGCCGAAGGGAAACCGAGUCUUAACUGGGCGUUAAGUUGCAGGGUAUAGACCCGAAACCCGGUGAUCUAGCCAUGGGCAGGUUGAAGGUUGGGUAACACUAACUGGAGGACCGAACCGACUAAUGUUGAAAAAUUAGCGGAUGACUUGUGGCUGGGGGUGAAAGGCCAAUCAAACCGGGAGAUAGCUGGUUCUCCCCGAAAGCUAUUUAGGUAGCGCCUCGUGAAUUCAUCUCCGGGGGUAGAGCACUGUUUCGGCAAGGGGGUCAUCCCGACUUACCAACCCGAUGCAAACUGCGAAUACCGGAGAAUGUUAUCACGGGAGACACACGGCGGGUGCUAACGUCCGUCGUGAAGAGGGAAACAACCCAGACCGCCAGCUAAGGUCCCAAAGUCAUGGUUAAGUGGGAAACGAUGUGGGAAGGCCCAGACAGCCAGGAUGUUGGCUUAGAAGCAGCCAUCAUUUAAAGAAAGCGUAAUAGCUCACUGGUCGAGUCGGCCUGCGCGGAAGAUGUAACGGGGCUAAACCAUGCACCGAAGCUGCGGCAGCGACACUAUGUGUUGUUGGGUAGGGGAGCGUUCUGUAAGCCUGCGAAGGUGUGCUGUGAGGCAUGCUGGAGGUAUCAGAAGUGCGAAUGCUGACAUAAGUAACGAUAAAGCGGGUGAAAAGCCCGCUCGCCGGAAGACCAAGGGUUCCUGUCCAACGUUAAUCGGGGCAGGGUGAGUCGACCCCUAAGGCGAGGCCGAAAGGCGUAGUCGAUGGGAAACAGGUUAAUAUUCCUGUACUUGGUGUUACUGCGAAGGGGGGACGGAGAAGGCUAUGUUGGCCGGGCGACGGUUGUCCCGGUUUAAGCGUGUAGGCUGGUUUUCCAGGCAAAUCCGGAAAAUCAAGGCUGAGGCGUGAUGACGAGGCACUACGGUGCUGAAGCAACAAAUGCCCUGCUUCCAGGAAAAGCCUCUAAGCAUCAGGUAACAUCAAAUCGUACCCCAAACCGACACAGGUGGUCAGGUAGAGAAUACCAAGGCGCUUGAGAGAACUCGGGUGAAGGAACUAGGCAAAAUGGUGCCGUAACUUCGGGAGAAGGCACGCUGAUAUGUAGGUGAGGUCCCUCGCGGAUGGAGCUGAAAUCAGUCGAAGAUACCAGCUGGCUGCAACUGUUUAUUAAAAACACAGCACUGUGCAAACACGAAAGUGGACGUAUACGGUGUGACGCCUGCCCGGUGCCGGAAGGUUAAUUGAUGGGGUUAGCGCAAGCGAAGCUCUUGAUCGAAGCCCCGGUAAACGGCGGCCGUAACUAUAACGGUCCUAAGGUAGCGAAAUUCCUUGUCGGGUAAGUUCCGACCUGCACGAAUGGCGUAAUGAUGGCCAGGCUGUCUCCACCCGAGACUCAGUGAAAUUGAACUCGCUGUGAAGAUGCAGUGUACCCGCGGCAAGACGGAAAGACCCCGUGAACCUUUACUAUAGCUUGACACUGAACAUUGAGCCUUGAUGUGUAGGAUAGGUGGGAGGCUUAGAAGUGUGGACGCCAGUCUGCAUGGAGCCGACCUUGAAAUACCACCCUUUAAUGUUUGAUGUUCUAACGUUGACCCGUAAUCCGGGUUGCGGACAGUGUCUGGUGGGUAGUUUGACUGGGGCGGUCUCCUCCUAAAGAGUAACGGAGGAGCACGAAGGUUGGCUAAUCCUGGUCGGACAUCAGGAGGUUAGUGCAAUGGCAUAAGCCAGCUUGACUGCGAGCGUGACGGCGCGAGCAGGUGCGAAAGCAGGUCAUAGUGAUCCGGUGGUUCUGAAUGGAAGGGCCAUCGCUCAACGGAUAAAAGGUACUCCGGGGAUAACAGGCUGAUACCGCCCAAGAGUUCAUAUCGACGGCGGUGUUUGGCACCUCGAUGUCGGCUCAUCACAUCCUGGGGCUGAAGUAGGUCCCAAGGGUAUGGCUGUUCGCCAUUUAAAGUGGUACGCGAGCUGGGUUUAGAACGUCGUGAGACAGUUCGGUCCCUAUCUGCCGUGGGCGCUGGAGAACUGAGGGGGGCUGCUCCUAGUACGAGAGGACCGGAGUGGACGCAUCACUGGUGUUCGGGUUGUCAUGCCAAUGGCACUGCCCGGUAGCUAAAUGCGGAAGAGAUAAGUGCUGAAAGCAUCUAAGCACGAAACUUGCCCCGAGAUGAGUUCUCCCUGACUCCUUGAGAGUCCUGAAGGAACGUUGAAGACGACGACGUUGAUAGGCCGGGUGUGUAAGCGCAGCGAUGCGUUGAGCUAACCGGUACUAAUGAACCGUGAGGCUU
RNAcentral lists this ribosomal RNA (2896 nucleotides) under Escherichia coli. RNAcentral's name for it is "partial 23S ribosomal RNA". It matches the Rfam family "Bacterial large subunit ribosomal RNA". Lineage: Bacteria; Pseudomonadati; Pseudomonadota; Gammaproteobacteria; Enterobacterales; Enterobacteriaceae. The record is from RNAcentral.